GCCCCACGCGCGGGCUCGCGCUUCGGUUUCCCCAGACCUGCUCGCAGCACCCUGCUGUCUUCCCGGUCCGGCCCGCUGCCCGCGGCGCCAGCACCAUGCUCUUCUAUUCUUUUUUCAAGUCCCUUGUGGGCAAGGAUGUGGUCGUGGAACUAAAGAAUGACCUGAGUAUCUCAACAUCAAACUAACUGACAUCAGUGUCACAGACCCUGAGAAAUACCCUCACAUGUUAUCAGUGAAGAACUGCUUCAUUCGGGGCUCAGUGGUCCGAUACGUGCAGCUGCCAGCAGAUGAGGUCGACACACAGUUGCUACAGGAUGCGGCAAGGAAGGAAGCCCUGCAGCAGAAACAGUGAUGGCUCCUCCUCCUCUUCCCCUCCCUCUUUCAUUGGUGACCCAUAACCCCAAGUCCCAGCCCAGAACCCCUAACCCCCAAUACUUGAAGGGGUUUUGUUUUUUUACUAAUGAUGGUUUUGUGGGUUUUUUUUAAGGGAUGAGUGGAUGAGAGGAGUAAUAGGGAACAGCUAUCCUCUCUUGAGAAGGGGAGGAUAAGUAGGCUGGGAAACUUCAAAGCCUUCCCAGUCCCCAGCACCUGCCUUUCUCACUACUUCUCUGGAGAUGGUAGGAGAGUUUCCUAGGUCUUUCCAGGGCAGCAUGUGAUUCAUUUGGGGAUGGAAGGAAUCUGUCCCGCAUCGGGAAUAAAAUUUAUGAUGCAAA
Molecule: long non-coding RNA, 713 nt
Filed under: Homo sapiens (human)
Lineage: Eukaryota; Metazoa; Chordata; Mammalia; Primates; Hominidae
Source: RNAcentral